GUCUGGUGCCAGCAGCCGCGGUAAUUCCAGCUCCAAUAGCGUAUAUUAAAGUUGUUGCAGUUAAAAAGCUCGUAGUUGAACCUUGGGCCUGGUUGGUCGGUCCGCCUCACCGCGUGCACUGAUCCGACCGGGUCUUUCCUUCUGGGGAGCCGCAUGCCCUUCACUGGGUGUGUCGGGGAACCAGGACUUUUACUUUGAAAAAAUUAGAGUGUUCAAAGCAGGCCUAUGCUCGAAUACAUUAGCAUGGAAUAAUAGAAUAGGACGUGUGGUUCUAUUUUGUUGGUUUCUAGGACCGCCGUAAUGAUUAAUAGGGAUAGUCGGGGGCAUCAGUAUUCAAUUGUCAGAGGUGAAAUUCUUGGAUUUAUUGAAGACUAACUACUGCGAAAGCAUUUGCCAAGGAUGUUUUCAUUAAUCAGUGAACGAAAGUUAGGGGAUCGAAGACGAUCAGAUACCGUCGUAGUCUUAACCAUAAACUAUGCCGACUAGGGAUCGGGCGAUGUUAUCUUUUUGACUCGCUCGGCACCUCACGAGAAAUCAAAGUCUUUGGGUUCUGGGG
This 556-nucleotide ribosomal RNA is filed under the name Ciboria caucus. Its description in RNAcentral is "SSU rRNA". It matches the Rfam family "Eukaryotic small subunit ribosomal RNA", at positions 559 to 1119 of the family's 1831-position model. The record is from RNAcentral. Lineage: Eukaryota; Fungi; Ascomycota; Leotiomycetes; Helotiales; Sclerotiniaceae.